AGGAAACGAAGAAGGAGAGGCUGAGAGUGAAUGGCGGAAGAAGAAAAAAAGAAUGGCUUAAUUUGAGUAAGGCUGGUUUUAAGGAGACGUAUUUGCUAUU
Molecule: small RNA, 100 nt
Filed under: Arabidopsis thaliana (thale cress)
Lineage: Eukaryota; Viridiplantae; Streptophyta; Magnoliopsida; Brassicales; Brassicaceae
Description: ATSL145180
Source: RNAcentral